GCAAGUCGAGCGGAAACGAAGAGGUGCUUGCACCUCUGGCGUCGAGCGGCGGACGGGUGAGUAAUGCUUGGGAAUAUGCCUUAUGGUGGGGGACAACAGUUGGAAACGACUGCUAAUACCGCAUGAUGUCUACGGACCAAAGUGGGGGACCUUCGGGCCUCACGCCAUAAGAUUAGCCCAAGUGGGAUUAGCUAGUUGGUGAGGUAAUGGCUCACCAAGGCGACGAUCCCUAGCUGGUUUGAGAGGAUGAUCAGCCACACUGGGACUGAGACACGGCCCAGACUCCUACGGGAGGCAGCAGUGGGGAAUAUUGCACAAUGGGCGCAAGCCUGAUGCAGCCAUGCCGCGUGUGUGAAGAAGGCCUUCGGGUUGUAAAGCACUUUCAGUAAGGAGGAAAGGUUAAGUGUUAAUAGCACUUAGCUGUGACGUUACUUACAGAAGAAGCACCGGCUAACUCCGUGCCAGCAGCCGCGGUAAUACGGAGGGUGCGAGCGUUAAUCGGAAUUACUGGGCGUAAAGCGUACGCAGGCGGUUUGUUAAGCGAGAUGUGAAAGCCCCGGGCUCAACCUGGGAACUGCAUUUCGAACUGGCAAACUAGAGUGUGAUAGAG
RNAcentral lists this ribosomal RNA (610 nucleotides) under uncultured bacterium. RNAcentral describes it as "bacterial SSU rRNA". It matches the Rfam family "Bacterial small subunit ribosomal RNA", at positions 57 to 656 of the family's 1533-position model. The record is from RNAcentral.